RNAcentral lists this ribosomal RNA (497 nucleotides) under uncultured bacterium. Its description in RNAcentral is "partial 16S ribosomal RNA". It matches the Rfam family "Bacterial small subunit ribosomal RNA", at positions 28 to 507 of the family's 1533-position model. The record is from RNAcentral.
GAUGAACGCUGGCGGCAGGCCUAACACAUGCAAGUCGAGCGACCACACGAGAAGCGUGUUCCUCUGACGUUAGCGGCGGACGGGCGAGUAACACGUGGAUCACCAACCUAUAAGACUGGGGUAACUUCGGGAAACCAGAGCUAAUACCGGAUCAUAUAUUGAACCGCUUGAAUCAAUAGUGCUAGACGGCUUUGCCGACACUAAUAGCUGGAUCCGUGUCGCAUUAGCUAGUUGGUAAGGUAACGGCUUACCAAGGCAACGAUGCGUAGCCGAUCUGAGAGGGUGAUCAGCCACACUGGAACUGAGACACGGUCCAGACUCCUACGGGAGGCAGCAGUAGGGAAUCUUCCGCAAUGGGCGAAAGCCUGAUGGAGCCACGCCGCGUGGGUGAAGAAGGUCUUCGGAUCGUAAAACUCUUUUAUUAGGAAAGAACAAAUGUAUGAGUAACUACGCACGUUUUGACGGUACCUAAACAAAAAGCAACGGCUAACUUCGUG